Molecule: ribosomal RNA, 253 nt
Filed under: uncultured bacterium
Lineage: Bacteria
Description: partial 16S ribosomal RNA
Rfam family: Bacterial small subunit ribosomal RNA
Source: RNAcentral
GACGUAGGGGGCGAGCGUUGUCCGGAUUUAUUGGGCGUAAAGAGCUCGUAGGCGGCCUGUUGCGUCCGCUGUGAAAGCCCGGGGCUUAACCCCGGGUCGGCAGUGGAUACGGGCAGGCUAGAGUUCGGUAGGGGAGACUGGAAUUCCUGGUGUAGCGGUGAAAUGCGCAGAUAUCAGGAGGAACACCGGUGGCGAAGGCGGGUCUCUGGGCCGAUACUGACGCUGAGGAGCGAAAGCGUGGGGAGCGAACAGG